This 792-nucleotide long non-coding RNA is filed under the name Dendronephthya gigantea. Its description in RNAcentral is "uncharacterized LOC114541985, transcript variant X1". The record is from RNAcentral. Lineage: Eukaryota; Metazoa; Cnidaria; Anthozoa; Malacalcyonacea; Nephtheidae.
AUAUUCUAAAGUAGUACUCCGCAAAUUGCACAAGCUAUGCCAAUACUAAUUGAAAAGGCCUGAAAGGUGGCUCUCUGCAAAGCCCGUGCCGCACACGAUUGAACAAACGGCAGGCAAGAGAAGUUUUCAACGAUGUUGUUGAUGAAUCGCGUCAAGAACUAAAGGUUGAAAGAAAGAGAGACGUAGGGAGUCAAGAUGAAAUUAUUGAACGGUUCUUUGCAAUGAAGAAAUAGAAGCCACUUCAAUAAGAGACUGUAGAAAUAAAAUAAUUUUAAAGAAAAUCGUAGAAGCGUAUAUGAUCACCGAAUUAAAACUCUCAAAAUUUUCGAGAGAUAAUGCAAUUGAUUUACACAAAUUAGAUCGUGAUGUUAGAUCGCGCUUUUCAAUGUUAUCUGAAUGUUCAUACCUACAUAAGAGUAAUGUCAUCAAUUAAGCAGUUGUAAGUAGCAAUUGCAAUUUAGCUUUUCAGGGCAAAAGCUUAGCUUUUUUGCCUUGUCUCUUCAAAUGUGAAAAAUCUCAACAUUUUUCCGCAAGCUUUCAUCAGUUUCCUCAUUUAUAAUAUAAAAAGCGAAGCAUAUUUCUGGACAGGAAACGAAAUUGCCUUGUCUCAUGAAAUGUUUCCGACUCUAAAGUUAUCGUAAUUAUACUGUAGGCAUAUAAUCCUGAUAUGUUAAGCAUUUUAAUGACAUGUGUUUUUAGUGAUUAUGACAGCAUUUGGUCAAAUCUUUGUGCAACCAUUUGCUGGAAGGUUUUGUUCACACAAAGACAUUUGAAAAUAAAAUGAUUUAAUUC